ACUGUGUGUUGUUGGGUAGGGGAGCGUUCUGUAAGCCUGCGAAGGUGGCCUGUGAGGGUUGCUGGAGGUAUCAGAAGUGCGAAUGCUGACAUAAGUAACGAUAAAGCGGGUGAAAAGCCCGCUCGCCGGAAGACCAAGGGUUCCUGUCCAACGUUAAUCGGGGCAGGGUGAGUCGACCCCUAAGGCGAGGCCGAAAGGCGUAGUCGAUGGGAAACGGGUUAAUAUUCCCGUACUUGGUGUUACUGCGAAGGGGGGACGGAGAAGGCUAUGUUGGCCGGGCGACGGUUGUCCCGGUUUAAGCGUGUAGGCUGGUUUUCCAGGCAAAUCCGGAAAAUCAAGGCUGAGGCGUGACGACGAGGCACUACGGUGCUGAAGCAACAAAUGCCCUGCUUCCAGGAAAAGCCUCUAAGCAUCAGGUAACAUCAAAUCGUACCCCAAACCGACACAGGUGGUCAGGUAGAGAAUACCAAGGCGCUUGAGAGAACUCGGGUGAAGGAACUAGGCAAAAUGGUGCCGUAACUUCGGGAGAAGGCACGCUGACAUGUAGGUGAAGUGAUUUACUCAUGAAGCUGAAGUCAGUCGAAGAUACCAGCUGGCUGCAACUGUUUAUUAAAAACACAGCACUGUGCAAACACGAAAGUGGACGUAUACGGUGUGACGCCUGCCCGGUGCCGGAAGGUUAAUUGAUGGGGUCAGCGCAAGCGAAGCUCCUGAUCGAAGCCCCGGUAAACGGCGGCCGUAACUAUAACGGUCCUAAGGUAGCGAAAUUCCUUGUCGGGUAAGUUCCGACCUGCACGAAUGGCGUAAUGAUGGCCAGGCUGUCUCCACCCGAGACUCAGUGAAAUUGAACUCGCUGUGAAGAUGCAGUGUACCCGCGGCAAGACGGAAAGACCCCGUGAACCUUUACUAUAGCUUGACACUGAACAUUGAGCCUUGAUGUGUAGGAUAGGUGGGAGGCUUUGAAGUGUGGACGCCAGUCUGCAUGGAGCCAACCUUGAAAUACCACCCUUUAAUGUUUGAUGUUCUAACGUGGACCCGUUACCCGGGUUGCGGACAGUGUCUGGUGGGUAGUUUGACUGGGGCGGUCUCCUCCUAAAGAGUAACGGAGGAGCACGAAGGUUGGCUAAUCCUGGUCGGACAUCAGGAGGUUAGUGCAAUGGCAUAAGCCAGCUUGACUGCGAGCGUGACGGCGCGAGCAGGUGCGAAAGCAGGUCAUAGUGAUCCGGUGGUUCUGAAUGGAAGGGCCAUCGCUCAACGGAUAAAAGGUACUCCGGGGAUAACAGGCUGAUACCGCCCAAGAGUUCAUAUCGACGGCGGUGUUUGGCACCUCGAUGUCGGCUCAUCACAUCCUGGGGCUGAAGUAGGUCCCAAGGGUAUGGCUGUUCGCCAUUUAAAGUGGUACGCGAGCUGGGUUUAGAACGUCGUGAGACAGUUCGGUCCCUAUCUGCCGUGGGCGCUGGAGAACUGAGGGGGGCUGCUCCUAGUACGAGAGGACCGGAGUGGACGCAUCACUGGUGUUCGGGUUGUCAUGCCAAUGGCACUGCCCGGUAGCUAAAUGCGGAAGAGAUAAGUGCUGAAAGCAUCUAAGCACGAAACUUGCCCCGAG
Molecule: ribosomal RNA, 1606 nt
Filed under: Salmonella enterica
Lineage: Bacteria; Pseudomonadati; Pseudomonadota; Gammaproteobacteria; Enterobacterales; Enterobacteriaceae
Description: partial 23S ribosomal RNA
Rfam family: Bacterial large subunit ribosomal RNA
Source: RNAcentral